GGAAUAUAGCUCAGUUGGUAGAGUGCUUGCCUUGCAUGCAAAAGGCCCUGGAUUCAAUCCCCAGCACCA
Molecule: transfer RNA, 69 nt
Filed under: Marmota monax (woodchuck)
Lineage: Eukaryota; Metazoa; Chordata; Mammalia; Rodentia; Sciuridae
Description: tRNA.Ala
Rfam family: tRNA (bases 7-64)
About the family: Transfer RNA (tRNA) molecules are approximately 80 nucleotides in length.
Source: RNAcentral